CGUGAGGCCUGUAGGAAAGAGCAAAGCCUGAGCUAGAUUACCCCUCCCAUCGAGUGUGCUAAGAUGGCGCCUGCUUCCUGCUUCCUGAUUGAUCAUGCUGCGUAAACAACCCGACCAGCAGAACAGUCUGCCUAGUAACUACUGAAGCUAGCCAACCAGCUUGCAUUACCCGCUUUGAUCUGAUUGGCUGCUGUAAUCGCAUAUAUGCUAGCGCCUCUUCCGCCAGAGGGAGAAGCACGGAAGGAGCCGCGGGGAGCGGACCAACAGAGGCUUCGGCCGGGAGGAUUCCCGGGGCAGACUGUGAAAGGGAGAGAAAAUAAAAGCGCCUUGCCACUGCCAGAUCUUGUCGUGUGUUCUUCCUGCCGGCUGGGAGCGACACCGACAUCUGGUGGCCCGUACGGGGAACUGAUCAGCCCCGAGACGUGGCAGUGGACAGCAGUCUCCAACACAGUGCUGCAGGACAGGGACCGGGACGAGAACCACUGUGGGUCCCAGAGAGGUUGACGCGUGUGACAAGUCCCUCGACUGAAGAUCAGGCCUGUUCCACCAGAGGCCAACCGCAGACCCAACAACAAGAUGAGCCCUAAAAGAACUGCAGGACAAUCCCUUUUUGGGGGCCUGGAACGGCUUGCUCCCCUAUGUGCUACCCUUGCAUACGCAUGGCUCGCUCGCAUGGCCUACGACCGCGUUUAAAAGUGACAGGCUUCCCACAUUCUCCUCCCUAGACAACAACAUGUAGCAGGGUGGGUGAGUCAAUGACGGGUAAGAGCGUGCCUCCCCAGCACGACUCAACCUAAACCAGGCCCUACCCCAUGGCGCACGAAAGCCGCUGGAUCGCUAGAUUCCGCCCCGAAUCUAGAUGCCUCUCCAAAGGGGAUCAUAAGGAGAGACGUGAGCGUAUGCCUAUGUGCACCCAGGUUCCGUCUGACCUAUCCCUGGCCCUGGAAAAAAGGACGAGGGCCUCAAGGCCUUGGUGGACCCUGGGACGGCCGCCCGGGUUCCAACCCAAAGGCCUGCAGUGGGCCUCAGAUACAGGGCGUAGGCCUCUAUGCUCGAUCCAGGACGGGCUGCGAUGCGCUCGUUCUUGUAAAAUAAAAUAGGGGGAGAUAUUGGGAGCCACGGCCGAGCCCGGUCGCCUUACUUGGCGGACAUGAGGCCUGUAGGAAAGAGCAAAGCCUGAGCUAGAUUACCCCUCCCAUCGAGUGUGCUAAGAUGGCGCCUGCUUCCUGCUUCCUGAUUGAUCAUGCUGCGUAAACAACCCGACCAGCAGAACAGUCUGCCUAGUAACUACUGAAGCUAGCCAACCAGCUUGCAUUACCCGCUUUGAUCUGAUUGGCUGCUGUAAUCGCAUAUAUGCUAGUGCCUCUUCCGCCAG
Long non-coding RNA from Cavia porcellus (domestic guinea pig), 1375 nucleotides. RefSeq lists it as uncharacterized. The record is from RefSeq and is a predicted model, not a curated record. The transcript has 3 exons. Lineage: Eukaryota; Metazoa; Chordata; Mammalia; Rodentia; Caviidae.